GACGAACGCUGGCGGCGUGCCUAAUACAUGCAAGUUGAGCGCUGAAGGUUGGUACUUGUACCGACUGGAUGAGCAGCGAACGGGUGAGUAACGCGUGGGGAAUCUGCCUUUGAGCGGGGGACAACAUUUGGAAACGAAUGCUAAUACCGCAUAAAAACUUUAAACACAAGUUUUAAGUUUGAAAGAUGCAAUUGCAUCACUCAAAGAUGAUCCCGCGUUGUAUUAGCUAGUUGGUGAGGUAAAGGCUCACCAGGCCGAUGAUACAUAGCCGACCUGAGAGGGUGAUCGGCAACGUUGGUACUGAGACACGGCCCAAACUCCUGCGGGAGGCAGCAGUAGGGAAUCUUCGGCAAUGGAAGAAAGUCUGAACGUGCAACGCCGCGUGAGUGAAGAAGGUUUUCGGAUCGUAAAACUCUGUUGGUAGAGAAGAACGUUAGUGAGAGUGGAAAGCUCAUCAAGUGACGGUAACUACCCAGAAAGGGACGGCUAACUACGUG
RNAcentral lists this ribosomal RNA (497 nucleotides) under uncultured bacterium. Its description in RNAcentral is "partial 16S ribosomal RNA". It matches the Rfam family "Bacterial small subunit ribosomal RNA", at positions 28 to 507 of the family's 1533-position model. The record is from RNAcentral.